GACGAACCGUGCGAACGUUAUUCGGAAUCAUUGGGCUUAAAGCGCGUGUAGGCGGGUUCGUGCGUCCGACGCUGAAAUCCCCCGGCUCAACCGGGGAACGGGCGGGGAUACGACGAGCCUGGAGGGGCGUAGGGGGACCUGGAACUUCCGGUGGAGCGGUGAAAUGCGUUGAGAUCGGAAGGAACGCCCGUGGCGAAAGCGAGGUCCUGGACGCCUACUGACGCUGAGACGCGAAAGCCAGGGGAGCGAACGGG
This 254-nucleotide ribosomal RNA is filed under the name uncultured bacterium. RNAcentral's name for it is "partial 16S ribosomal RNA". It matches the Rfam family "Bacterial small subunit ribosomal RNA", at positions 524 to 776 of the family's 1533-position model. The record is from RNAcentral.